UCGUCUGCUCUCGUUAUUGUCUAGACUUUUGACUAGAAAGAAGUGUCGAGAACGAGACGAAGUUUAAGAUUAUAAAGAAAACGUACAUGUGUAACGUAUGUAAGACUAAUUUGGAAAUGUACGUGGCUGUACGAGAAAUGGAACAAAUAAUCAAAUUACAGAAGUGUGGUUUUCGUGUGAACUCUGUUGGUUAUCUCAGUGUGAACUCUGUUUCGGCGUCUUGGCUCUCCGUGCUCGUCCACCUCAUGCAUUUUGGCGGAUAAACAGCAUCCCAUUUCAUUGGAGAAACUCCUGGGGCCGAUCGAGUUACGUAUCUCUUCUUCCCUUUUCUUAAAUCCUCUGUGUCCUCGUGUACAUCCAUGUGAGUGUGGGUGUAUUCACGAGGAUUCCCUUUUGCAGAUCCUGCCUGGCGUAUUCAACUUUACUACGCGGAUGGAGCAACUCUGGAUGCCUGGCUGUAUUUCCCAGGCAUAAAGAUAGACGAGACGAGUUGAAAAGCUGGGGCGAUAUGUUGCCGAGUGCGAGCGGCCAUUAUCUGGAGAGAAUAAAUGAACAACUGAAAACACGGACGCCAUAGAGAGACGAACAACUAAACACCGAGCACGACCGACUCUUUUCUUUUCUUCUUUGAUUUUCUAUUUAUCUAAUAACUUUUUUUUGUGCUGUUGUUGUUGUUGUUGUUGCUGUACGGGAGAAGAAGAAGAAUAAAAAAAAGAAUAGACCGCCUUGGUUGCGCUUGUCGAUCCAUCACCACCUCCGGAGCGGCGCGGCCAUCACCACACAAGCUAAGCAAUUAACAUUCAAUUAAUUAAGGGUUUCACUGCCUCACGAUUUCAUUCUUUUUCUUUCAAAAGCCGGAUUUUUAUUUGUGUGUGUGUCUUGUACUUCUACCCCCCACUCAUUAUUUCCCCCUUUUUUUUGUUUUUUUUGCUUUCGAUAUUAUAAAACCCUUAUAGUCAGCGUUUAGCCACCCACCGAUGGCUUCCUUCUCUGCUGGUGGUUUCCCAGCAGCUUCGUAUCAUCUAUUACCGUUCCUCUGCUCACGAUCCAAUCCCGCAGUUGCAAUUGCGUCGCUAUGAUAUAAUUUACCUGCAUUUCAAAACGGCCCUCUCUGUGGACUGUCUGGUACUAUACUAAGUCCUCUGACUUGUUUCGUAAUCUAAUUACAAGUCUGAUGAUGGCCAGACUAUCGUGAAAUCAAUGAGGGUCGGGCAAGACAGCACACACGCAUUCCUCGUCUGUUCUUAUGAAGAAGAGGUGGGGGGAGAGAGAGAGAGCUAUAGAGCUCGGGUGAUGGCGCGGUUUUUGAAAUUAGAGUGGAGCAUCCGCCGGGCAGACGACACACAAGCAUUCCUUUUGCUCAUCUUCGUUCCUCAUUAUUUAAAAAACAAAAAACAAAAAAAAAACUAUCUUCUUUCUUUUUUCGAACGAAAAACUUCUGCGGUGCGCCGUGUAAAUUGCGUGGCUUGUGUGACAUCGUACACCUUCGACCUCAAAUGCGGCGCUGUGUCAUCCAAUCCGUCACCUUGAGAAACGACUUGAAGUGAUUUUUUCCGAGAAGAAGAAGAAGAAGAAAAAGAAGAAGAAGGAGAGCUCUUAAAUCAGGACAGAGUAUAAGGACAGAGCACACAGCCCAUGGGGUCCAUUUAUGCGGGGGAAAUUUGAACAAGAAGAACAAGGUCUCUCUCUCUCUCUCUUUUUCUCUCUGUGUGGUAUAUAAUUAGGGCUGGUACACAGGAUAAAUGUACAGCCCGGCGCUUGUUCGCUUAUUCACCAAGAAAUCUGCAUUGACCUUUUGCUGCGUUUGCUUGCUGCAGACACACACAACAACAUCUGCGCGGGGGCCGUUUUUAUUCUUCCUCGACUCUCAUCCGCCUCCCUCUUUUGUUUCCCCAUUUUGACAGUGUUUUGAUAAACACUUAAUUACAGUGUACAUAGUAUAGUUACUAGUACAUAUAUAGUCUCUCCAGAGUAUACCCGUACUACACAUACGUGUAUGUAUACCUGAUGAAUUGUUCUUAUUCCUCUCCUGAACCGCAAUUAGCAUUGAAGGUAUAUAAUUCAUUUCUCCUUUUCUUUCCAGUUGUUUCCACUUUCGUCUGAUUCUCUCCUCCGCGCGCCCGUUCAAGUGUUUCGAUAUAUUUCAGAAAGGGCUUCACACAUACGAGCGCGCUUUUAUCAUAUACAGUAAUUCCAAUGGAGAACACACAUAGGAGGGAAAUUCCGACCCGCAACCCCGGCAGCGUCGAUUGCCCGACAUUCUGGUAUAUCAUUUUUUCUUAUGGUGCGGGUUAUUAUUGUAAGAGCCAGCAACUAUAUAACUUAAUAUUCAAUAUCGACCCGAAGCGGCGUUCAAAAUAACAUAGUGUAUCGUUUUUUUUCUUUUCUUUUUCCGUGAGAGAAUACUACUAUAUGAAGUGAUGCAUUCCUCGUCAAAGAGAUGAAGAAUUCACACCUUUAUUGUCUGGAAAUAUAUUGCCGAGCGGGGGCAUACAGGACACA
RNAcentral lists this long non-coding RNA (2502 nucleotides) under Daphnia pulex (common water flea). RNAcentral describes it as "uncharacterized LOC124192011, transcript variant X1". Lineage: Eukaryota; Metazoa; Arthropoda; Branchiopoda; Diplostraca; Daphniidae. The record is from RNAcentral.